Molecule: long non-coding RNA, 229 nt
Filed under: Homo sapiens (human)
Lineage: Eukaryota; Metazoa; Chordata; Mammalia; Primates; Hominidae
Description: non-protein coding lnc-TRIML2-2:2
Source: RNAcentral
GGGAGGUUUCCCUGAUCUGCAGGAAUCAGCGUGGACGGCAGAGCCUCCCUGACAGGAGAGGGAAUAGUUAUGGAAGGACCUGAGAUGAGUGGAGGCGAGUGUGGAGAGGCUAUGCAGGCCCAGACUCUGGGACCCCGUAGGCCAUGGGAAGAACUUCGAUCUUCAGUCCAGGAGCCCUGGGAACGGAAUAUUCUGAAAGAAUCCACCAAAUGUGCCUUAGAACAGGUUG